GGGACACGUGGUAUCCUGUCUGAAUAUGGGGGGACCAUCCUCCAAGGCUAAAUACUCCUGACUGACCGAUAGUGAACCAGUACCGUGAGGGAAAGGCGAAAAGAACCCCGGCGAGGGGAGUGAAAAAGAACCUGAAACCGUGUACGUACAAGCAGUGGGAGCACGCUUAGGCGUGUGACUGCGUACCUUUUGUAUAAUGGGUCAGCGACUUAUAUUCUGUAGCAAGGUUAACCGAAUAGGGGAGCCGAAGGGAAACCGAGUCUUAACUGGGCGUUAAGUUGCAGGGUAUAGACCCGAAACCCGGUGAUCUAGCCAUGGGCAGGUUGAAGGUUGGGUAACACUAACUGGAGGACCGAACCGACUAAUGUUGAAAAAUUAGCGGAUGACUUGUGGCUGGGGGUGAAAGGCCAAUCAAACCGGGAGAUAGCUGGUUCUCCCCGAAAGCUAUUUAGGUAGCGCCUCGUGAAUUCAUCUCCGGGGGUAGAGCACUGUUUCGGCAAGGGGGUCAUCCCGACUUACCAACCCGAUGCAAACUGCGAAUACCGGAGAAUGUUAUCACGGGAGACACACGGCGGGUGCUAACGUCCGUCGUGAAGAGGGAAACAACCCAGACCGCCAGCUAAGGUCCCAA
This 631-nucleotide ribosomal RNA is filed under the name Escherichia coli. Its description in RNAcentral is "partial 23S ribosomal RNA". It matches the Rfam family "Bacterial large subunit ribosomal RNA", at positions 419 to 1050 of the family's 2925-position model. Lineage: Bacteria; Pseudomonadati; Pseudomonadota; Gammaproteobacteria; Enterobacterales; Enterobacteriaceae. The record is from RNAcentral.